This 686-nucleotide long non-coding RNA is filed under the name Marmota monax (woodchuck). Lineage: Eukaryota; Metazoa; Chordata; Mammalia; Rodentia; Sciuridae. The record is from RNAcentral.
UGGGCCCCAUGGAAAAUAUUCUCGAGAUGCUCCAUACAUGUUUCCUGGAGGAGGUGGAGGGAAAAAAGCUCCUCUUCUCAUGAACUGAUUCCUUGGAUCCACUGGAAACAAUGGACCUCUGAUUGGAGGGAAAGGUGAGAAAGCAAAGCCAGAGGCAGUUUCUUGGUUUUCAGCAGGGAGAGAUGACUCGGGCACAUUGGAAUUAUCAAGAUCAACUUUGGAAUCAUUUCUACUGGAUUCCAUUUCAGAAAACAUAGGCCCAUCCAUUUGAUCCCAAGGUGGCAGAGUAGAACUUCUGAGUUCUGCUGGUCCCGAGGGUCCACCAUAAUUAGAAUAACAUCCAUCUUGCCUUGGUAGAGGAAGACAUAGAUCACAAUAUGGUUGGCCUGGUGGAGCCAUCAUCAUCUUAGGGUUCUGUUCCCAUGGAGAUGACAGGGGCCUAAUGUUAUAAGGCACUCUCUGAUGAUCAGUUAUCCCAUCAUAGCCGGAUUCUCUUCUUUCAUUGAUAAUUUGAGGGCCCAGAGGAUUCUCUGGGCCUCUUGAGCCUCUUCCUCCUACCCCUGGAAGCAAAGGUGAGAGUCUGAGUGGACCCUCCUUUCCCAGAAGUGGAGCUCUCAUUUCAGAUGAAGGUCGACCCAAUGGUGAGGGACCAUUUGGGAAAUGCUCUCUGCCAAUGGCUGUAUUUG